Non-coding RNA from Physcomitrium patens, 2813 nucleotides. NCBI's taxonomy places the organism in Eukaryota, Viridiplantae, Streptophyta, Bryopsida, Funariales, Funariaceae. The record is from RefSeq and is a predicted model, not a curated record.
CUUCUCCUUUCGCCUUUCCCCCUUUCACGACGAGCCUUCUUGCGUGCUCUUGGUGGAUGGACUUCAAGCCUUCUCCCAGUGGGCACCGCAGAGGUCUUGUUACAAUGGCUGGAGCAAGCUAUCGAGUGAGAGGAUCGUCGAGGGAGGGACGAGCUACUAGAGCAGAGAGGCGACUAGCUCGGUUUGAGGCCAAUCAGCCGCUCGUUUCUGAUGGCAGAGUCAUAGUUGGGGCUAGUGGUGUGCAAGCUAACGCUUCUGCUUCUUCUCAGCGGAAAGUGGUGCACAGGAACCGAAAGUGCGGUUUGAUCCCAUCAACGAACAUGCGCCUUAACUUUAAAUCAUCUUCAGAGCCUGCUGAUCUUCAACAUGAUGGGAUGGAGAAUAAGAUCGAUAAAUCAGAAGAUUUCACUUCAGAGCUGGAGAGUCUGGUGGAUCUACCUCAGCUAUCUCCCAGUUCGUUUUCUCAAGGUGUUCGUCGUGAGGAGGACGAAGCGUUUAGCCGGUGUGCAGACUUCACCAAAGGGAUCGAGAUAAUCGUGGAGCUAUCCCACCUGCCGCCCUCCAACUUGUCGUUGCAAGCUGGCGAUUAUGAUUAGGGUGAGGCAAUCGGCGAUGGCCAAGACUUCGCCGACGGGCUGGAGCCCAUCGUAGAUCUCCCUGACGUAAAUGAUAACUUCAUUGACGUUGAAACCUCCGCUUCAAAUAAGACUGCGACGGGAAAAAGCGAAAGUGGUGCUGCAAGAGAGUUGAUCCAUUUUUUGUUCUGUUCAGGAGGACAGCCUGCAGUGCGUAGGUUAGUCUCAAUUGUUCGCCGCCAGAACUCUAAGUUGUGGGUGAUGUGUUGUGGGUAGAUUAUGUGAAGAAACUGAAAAGUCAUUGAAGCAGGCCAAAAAAUAAUUAAAAUUGAAUUUAAAAAAUAAAUAAAUGGAUGUGACAUUGCACGAGUGGUACUUUUAGAGUUCAGGGGUUGAGGGGUCACGGAGAAGGCGCAGAGCACAAAUGGCGUUGACAGAAUCCCUUACAGCUGGGGAAAGUUUUUAGCGAACUAUUUUGAACCUUCAGCAGCAGCACCUGCAGCGAUAGAAAGUUGUCAAUGGAAAGCAUCACAAGCUGCUUUUGUUGUUCACAGUCAAGCACCAAAGAAGACAGGUUAAUCAAGGAUUUUGUACUCAAAUUACAGCUAAUUGGUAAGCAUUCUACUCAGAUGACGUAUCUAAGUUCUUUCCCUCUUUUUCACUUUGAGUAGGCUUGGUUGGGAACAUUAUAAGCUCUCAGGCCUCAGCGUAUAAGUAUGUAUAUAUAUAUAUAUAUAUACAUAUUUAUUUAUUCAUAGUUACUUCAAUAUCAUGACUAUGCGAUGUUUUUUGAAAGAGAAUUGAUUUUUUACACAGACCUAGACUCGCCACUUUGUUCUUGUGCUUUUUGGAGGUCGUUCUCAGAUUCGACGUCUUGCAGAUUGUGGACGAAUAACUUUUAUGUAAAACGAUUGAAUUCUGUCUAUAUUUUCAGGUUAACGUGUUUGAUUUUGCUGGAUGAGACGAAAUGAAUGAAACACUCUACAUCGAUUGUGUUUGAGUGUAAUGAUUUCAUCAGUAGAUAUUUUUGCACCUGUCAUGCCAUGCCUCCUGCUGAUUGAAAAGACCAGGUAAAAUUUCAGUCUUAGGCGGAGUUUUCUCAGCUAAAUAAUUACUAUUUAUCUAAAAUAAUUUUAAACUUGAGAAAAUUAAGAAUACUAUCACCAGUACUAGUGAGCACUAACGCUUGCCCGGAAUGUUCAUCCAGUGAGCACUAUUUACCAUGGUGGAUUCGUUUUCCUUUACAGUUUCUAGUACAGAAUGCCGAGACACCAGCGACCCAGCUGAGAAAGCAGCAAUAGAUAGUAGAUUUACCGCAAAAGGUCGAGAUUGGUGGAUUCCUCAUUGCGAUUGAAUACGUAUGGUUCCCACUGGCACCCGCCUCACUUGGACUUGGAGCCUGAAGAAGUCGAGGAUGACGUUCCAGAGCGCUCCAUACUCUAAGGCCGAUAAUGGAGAUCCCUUAGAUGCAGGUCUGAGGAGAGGAAAGACAUUCAAGUCGUUUAAAUCAACACAAAUAGGAGAAGGACCAAAUGCAGAAGCUUUUGAUUGGUUCUGCAGAUUCAGAUGAACCCAAGAUGAGGAAGAAAGGGGAUGGAUGUGGAACCAUGCAGAAGAAGAAGACGAUGGGAAACGGAAUGGCCGAGAAAACGACGAGUGGAUCUUGUGACGAAGUGGGUAACGAUGUGAAAGGGAUCGCGGAAAUUUUUAAGUCGAAUAGAUUUGGAAUAAUAGGUUCGAUCCUUCCGUAAUUUCCGGGAUAUGCGUAGUUACGUGUAAUUCUACCUGUUUUAUAUGCGGGAUAAACAUUAGAGUUGAAUUUGUGAAACAAUGGAUAUGCCUUGGUUGAAGGAUAUCAGGCCGUUGCUAAAGACCAAAACGAUGAGCAUGACGUAAUUGCACAUGAAGACAGGGAAUGUUUGUACGAAAUUGAAGAUGGGGUGCUGUGAACAAGCGUGGUGUCUCGGGCAGUAGAUCUGCAGAGGAAGGAUUCUGCUACUAUAAAAGUUUCGGCCAAACUGAGGGCCACAGAAGGAUAAUGGAGCAGACGUCAUUCGACUGCCACCAUGAAUGUGUUUGAGAUGAAUCCACACCGAAACUGUCGAUUCCCCAUCGCAUUGGCUGAAGUGAUGUACUAAUAUUUCUUGCAUCUUUCAAUGACAAUACUGUGAUCUAAUGUUUCUUACCUCUAAUGAAAACACCUGAUUGAUGGAAUUAAGGUAAUGUUGAAAACCUUCA